RNAcentral lists this transfer RNA (59 nucleotides) under Nannospalax ehrenbergi (Ehrenberg's mole-rat). Its description in RNAcentral is "transfer RNA-Ser(AGY)". Lineage: Eukaryota; Metazoa; Chordata; Mammalia; Rodentia; Spalacidae. The record is from RNAcentral.
AGGAAAGUAAGCAAGAACUGCUAACUCAUGCUACCGUGAUUACCCUCACGGCUUUCCUA